Molecule: ribosomal RNA, 254 nt
Filed under: uncultured bacterium
Lineage: Bacteria
Description: partial 16S ribosomal RNA
Rfam family: Bacterial small subunit ribosomal RNA
Source: RNAcentral
UACGUAGGGUGCGAGCGUUGUCCGGAAUUACUGGGCGUAAAGAGCUCGUAGGUGGUUUGUCGCGUUGUCCGUGAAAACUCACAACUCAAUUGUGGGCGUGCGGGCGAUACGGGCAGACUGGAGUACUGCAGGGGAGACUGGAAUUCCUGGUGUAGCGGUGGAAUGCGCAGAUAUCAGGAGGAACACCGGUGGCGAAGGCGGGUCUCUGGGCAGUAACUGACGGCUGAGGAGCGAAAGCGUGGGGAGCGAACAGG